Molecule: ribosomal RNA, 253 nt
Filed under: uncultured bacterium
Lineage: Bacteria
Description: partial 16S ribosomal RNA
Rfam family: Bacterial small subunit ribosomal RNA
Source: RNAcentral
UACGAACCGUACAAACGUUGUUCGGAAUUACUGGGCGUAAAGGGCGCGUAGGCGGCCUGUUAAGUCGGACGUGAAAUCCCUCGGCUCAACCGGGGAACUGCGUCCGAUACUGGCGGGCUUGAAUUCGGGAGAGGGAUGUGGAAUUCCAGGUGUAGCGGUGAAAUGCGUAGAUAUCUGGAGGAACACCGGUGGCGAAGGCGGCAUCCUGGACCGACAUUGACGCUGAGGCGCGAAAGCCAGGGGAGCAAACGGG